This 430-nucleotide ribosomal RNA is filed under the name uncultured bacterium. RNAcentral describes it as "partial 16S ribosomal RNA". It matches the Rfam family "Bacterial small subunit ribosomal RNA", at positions 338 to 795 of the family's 1533-position model. The record is from RNAcentral.
CCUACGGGGGGCAGCAGUGGGGAAUAUUGGACAAUGGGCGCAAGCCUGAUCCAGCCAUGCCGCGUGGAUGAUGAAGGCCUUAGGGUUGUAAAAUCCUUUCGGCGGGGAAGCGGUACCCGCAGAAGAAGCCCCGGCUAACUUCGUGCCAGCAGCCGCGGUAAUACGAAGGGGGCUAGCGUUGCUCGGAAUCACUGGGCGUAAAGCGCACGUAGGCGGCUUUUUAAGUCAGGGGUGAAAUCCUGGAGCUCAACUCCAGAACUGCCUUUGAUACUGAGAAGCUUGAGUUCGGGAGAGGUGAGUGGAACUGCGAGUGUAGAGGUGAAAUUCGUAGAUAUUCGCAAGAACACCAGUGGCGAAGGCGGCUCACUGGCCCGUCUGACGCUGAGGUGCGAAAGCGUGGGGAGCAAACAGGAUUAAUACCCUUGUAGUC